This 1340-nucleotide ribosomal RNA is filed under the name uncultured bacterium. RNAcentral's name for it is "bacterial SSU rRNA". It matches the Rfam family "Bacterial small subunit ribosomal RNA", at positions 28 to 1381 of the family's 1533-position model. The record is from RNAcentral.
GAUGAACUUUGGCGGCGUGCCUAACACAUGCAAGUCGAGUGCGUCUGAUUUGAUGCUUGCAUUAAUGAAAGAUGAGCGGCGGACGGGUGAGUAACGCGUGGGUAACCUGCCCUAUACACAUGGAUAUUAUACUGAAAAGUUUACUAAUACAUGAUAAUAUAUAUUUACGGCAUCGUAGAUAUAUCAAAGUGUUAGCGGUAUAGGAUGGACCCGCGUCUGAUUAGCUAGGUGGUGAGAUAAAUGCCCACCAAGGCGACGAUCAGUACCCGACCUGAGAGGGGGAUCGGCCACAUUGAAACUGAGACACGAUCCAAACUCCUACGGGAGGCAGCAAAGGGGAAUAUUGCACAAUGGGCGCGAGCCUGAUGCACCAACCCCGCGAGAACGAUGAAGGUCUUCGGAUCAUAAAGUUCUGUUGCAGGGGAAGAUAAUGACGGUACCCUGUGAGAGAAGCCCCGGCUAACUACGCGCCAACAACCGCGGUAAUACAUAGGGGGCUAGCGUUAUCCCGGAUUUACUGGGCGUAAAGGGUGCGUAGGUGGUCUUUCAAGUCGGUGGUUAAAGGCUACGGCUCAACCGUAGUUAGCCUCCGAAACUGGAAGACUUGAGUGCAGGAGAGGAAAGUGGAAUUCCCAGUGUAGCGGUGAAAUGCGUAGAUAUUGGGAGGAACACCAGUAGCGAAGGCGGCUUUCUGGACUGCAACUGACACUGAGGCACGAAAGCGUGGGCAGCAAACAGGAUUAGAUACCCUGGUAGUCCACGCUGUAAACGAUGAGUACUAGGUGUCGGGGGUUACCCCCCCGGUGCCGCAGCUAACGCAUUAAGUACUCCGCCUGGGGAGUACGCACGCAAGUGUGAAACUCAAAGGAAUUGACGGGGACCCGCACAAGUAGCGGAGCAUGUGGUUUAAUUCGAAGCAACGCGAAGAACCUUACCUAAGCUUGACAUCCCUUAGACCGGUGUUUAAUCACACCUUCCCUUCGGGGCUGAGGUGACAGGUGGUGCAUGGUUGUCGUCAGCUCGUGUCGUGAGAUGUUGGGUUAAGUCCCGCAACGAGCGCAACCCUUGUCUUUAGUUGCCAGCAUUCAGUUGGGCACUCUAGAGAGACUGCCAGGGAUAACCUGGAGGAAGGUGGGGAUGACGUCAAAUCAUCAUGCCCCUUAUGCUUAGGGCUACACACGUGCUACAAUGGGUGGUACAGAGGGUUGCCAAACCGUGAGGUGGAGCUAAUCCCUUAAAGCCAUUCUCAGUUCGGAUUGUAGGCUGAAACUCGCCUACAUGAAGCUGGAGUUACUAGUAAUCGCAGAUCAGAAUGCUGCGGUGAAUGCGUUCCCGGGUCU